RNAcentral lists this ribosomal RNA (442 nucleotides) under uncultured bacterium. RNAcentral's name for it is "bacterial SSU rRNA". It matches the Rfam family "Bacterial small subunit ribosomal RNA", at positions 340 to 774 of the family's 1533-position model. The record is from RNAcentral.
UACGGAAGGCAGCAGUGGGGAAUAUUGCACAAUGGGCGCAAGCCUGAUGCAGCCAUGCCGCGUGUAUGAAGAAGGCCUUCGGGUUGUAAAGUACUUUCAGUCGUGAGGAAGGUGUUAAGGUUAAUAACCUUAGCAAUUGACGUUAGCGACAGAAGAAGCACCGGCUAACUCCGUGCCAGCAGCCGCGGUAAUACGGAGGGUGCGAGCGUUAAUCGGAAUUACUGGGCGUAAAGGGCACGCAGGCGGUUAAUUAAGUUGGAUGUGAAAUCCCCGGGCUUAACCUGGGAAUGGCAUUCAAGACUGGUUAGCUAGAGUCUUGUAGAGGGGGUUAGAAUUCCAUGUGUAGCGGUGAAAUGCGUAGAGAUGUGGAGGAAUACCGGUGGCGAAGGCGGCCCCUGGACAAAGGACUGACGCUCAUGUGCGAAAGCGUGGGGAGCAAACG